GACGAACGCUGGCGGCGUGCUUAACACAUGCAAGUCGAACGGAAAGGCCCUGCUUGCAGGGUACUCGAGUGGCGAACGGGUGAGUAACACGUGGGUGAUCUGCCCUGCACUUCGGGAUAAGCCUGGGAAACUGGGUCUAAUACCGGAUAGGAGCCAUUUUUAGUGUGAUGGUUGGAAAGUUUUUUCGGUGUAGGAUGAGCUCGCGGCCUAUCAGCUUGUUGGUGGGGUAAUGGCCUACCAAGGCGGCGACGGGUAGCCGGCCUGAGAGGGUGGACGGCCACAUUGGGACUGAGGUUCGGCCCCGGCCCCUACGGGGGGCCGCCGUGGGGAAUUUUGCCCCAUGGGCGCAAGCCUGAUGCCGCGACGCCGCGUGGGGGAUGACGGCCUUCGGGUUGUAAACUCCUUUCGCUAGGGACGAAGCUUUUUGUGACGGUACCUAGAUAAGAAGCACCGGCUAACUACGUG
This 465-nucleotide ribosomal RNA is filed under the name uncultured bacterium. Its description in RNAcentral is "partial 16S ribosomal RNA". It matches the Rfam family "Bacterial small subunit ribosomal RNA", at positions 28 to 507 of the family's 1533-position model. The record is from RNAcentral.